Molecule: ribosomal RNA, 460 nt
Filed under: uncultured bacterium
Lineage: Bacteria
Description: partial 16S ribosomal RNA
Rfam family: Bacterial small subunit ribosomal RNA
Source: RNAcentral
CCUACGGGAGGCAGCAGUGAGGAAUAUUGGUCAAUGGACGAGAGUCUGAACCAGCCAAGUAGCGUGAAGGAUGACUGCCCUAUGGGUUGUAAACUUCUUUUAUAUGGGAAUAAAAUGUUCCACGUGUGGGAUUUUGUAUGUACCAUAUGAAUAAGGAUCGGCUAACUCCGUGCCAGCAGCCGCGGUAAUACGGAGGAUCCGAGCGUUAUCCGGAUUUAUUGGGUUUAAAGGGAGCGUAGGUGGAUUGUUAAGUCAGUUGUGAAAGUUUGCGGCUCAACCGUAAAAUUGCAGUUGAAACUUGCAGUCUUGAGUACAGUAGAGGUGGGCGGAAUUCGUGGUGUAGCGGUGAAAUGCUUAGAUAUCACGAAGAACUCCGAUUGCGAAGGCAGUUCACUGGACUGCAACUGACACUGAGGCUCGAAAGUGUGGGUAUCAAACAGGAUUAGAUACCCCAGUAGUC